UACGGAGGGGGCUAGCGUUGUUCGGAAUGACUGGGCGUAAAGCGCGCGUAGGCGGGUUUUCAAGUCAGAGGUGAAAGCCCGGGGCUCAACCCCGGAACGGCCUUUGAUACUGUUGACCUGGAGUUCGAGAGAGGUGGGUGGAAUUCCGAGUGUAGAGGUGAAAUUCGUAGAUAUUCGGAGGAACACCAGUGGCGAAGGCGGCCCACUGGCUCGACACUGACGCUGAGGCGCGAAAGCGUGGGGAGCAAACAGG
This 253-nucleotide ribosomal RNA is filed under the name uncultured bacterium. Its description in RNAcentral is "partial 16S ribosomal RNA". It matches the Rfam family "Bacterial small subunit ribosomal RNA", at positions 524 to 776 of the family's 1533-position model. The record is from RNAcentral.